GAUCCCUCCUUCUGGUAUUUUGUGGUGAGCCCGGCAUAAGGGCAGAGCUGCAAACAUGACUUAACAAACUUAAGGACUUCUACACCUGUCUAGACCAAGAAGUGGAAGAAGUUCUCAUUGAACAAAGAAUGUGGCAGGAAAACCACAGAGCCAUCUGACUUCCAGGCAGACUGUUAUAUUUCAGAUGCUCCACUGCUUACACAUAUCCUUUGUGAGGUGAAAACUCAUAAUUUCCUGCAGCUGUUUCCUCAAAUAAACCUCUACAUCAAUUCUUCCUCUACGUUCACCUAUUUCAUAUUUGUUUUGCAAGAGUACGCAGUUGUAGGCAUACCAGUGUCUUUCCUUGGAGAACCAGCCCUGCUCCUCCCUCUGGCUGCAGCUUUCUUCACCUCAGUGAGCAGGGUGGUGAGGGGAAGCAUUUCAAUCUGACACCUCUUAAGAAAAGCCAAAAGGGAACAGAUGAUGAUACCACAACCUUUCUGUUCUCUCUAUCACUUUCAUUGACAGAAAACAAACAAACAAAAAAACACCUUUGAGAUAAAGCAUCAUUUCAGCUUGCCCUAAAGAAGAGGAUAAAAUUUUGAAGAACAGUUAACUGUAUUGCAAAAAUUUUCCAUUGUUGGAGCCUAAUGCUGCUGGACCAGACAUUUUCCUGCUUUUCUGACUCUUAAGAAAUAUCUUGCUAUUACAGUUUGUAAUAUUUCAAAAAAAUUUUUUUUUUGUUUUCUUUAUGCAGAAAAGAAUUGGUACUGUAGGGUACCAAUUUAAUUCUUGCCUCUCCUCAUGAAAUAAGUAAACUUUCACAUACUUUACUGUCUAAUUAAUUAGUUAGCUAAUUAAUUAAUUAGCUUUUACAGGAUUUUUCCCAUGCUUCCCAUUCCUUUUUUCUCUAUGUGCAGUCAAAACCUUUAAAGAUCUUCUGGUAUAGGCAACUAUUGAUUCUUCUCCUUAGAUUGGUGCUGUUAAACAUGUCUUGCAGAACCUCAAAAUGUUUGUAUGCAGAGCUGGUUUCUCAUAAA
Long non-coding RNA from Lagopus muta (rock ptarmigan), 1019 nucleotides. RefSeq lists it as uncharacterized. NCBI's taxonomy places the organism in Eukaryota, Metazoa, Chordata, Aves, Galliformes, Phasianidae. The transcript is spliced from 5 exons. The record is from RefSeq and is a predicted model, not a curated record.